RNAcentral lists this ribosomal RNA (266 nucleotides) under uncultured bacterium. RNAcentral describes it as "partial 16S ribosomal RNA". It matches the Rfam family "Bacterial small subunit ribosomal RNA", at positions 355 to 618 of the family's 1533-position model. The record is from RNAcentral.
UAAGGAAUAUUGGUCAAUGGGCGCAAGCCUGAACCAGCCAUGCCGCGUGCAGGAAGACGGCCCUAUGGGUUGUAAACUGCUUUUGUCAGGGAAUAAACCCCCGCUCGUGAGCGGGGCUGAAGGUACCUGAAGAAUAAGCAUCGGCUAACUCCGUGCCAGCAGCCGCGGUAAUACGGAGGAUGCAAGCGUUCUCCGGAUUCAUUGGGUUUAAAGGGUGCGCAGGCGGAUUGGUAAGUCAGGGGUGAAAUACCACAGCUCAACUGUGG